RNAcentral lists this ribosomal RNA (2903 nucleotides) under Enterobacter hormaechei. RNAcentral's name for it is "23S ribosomal RNA". It matches the Rfam family "Bacterial large subunit ribosomal RNA". Lineage: Bacteria; Pseudomonadati; Pseudomonadota; Gammaproteobacteria; Enterobacterales; Enterobacteriaceae. The record is from RNAcentral.
GGUUAAGCGACUAAGCGUACACGGUGGAUGCCCUGGCAGUCAGAGGCGAUGAAGGACGUGCUAAUCUGCGAAAAGCGCCGGCGAGGUGAUAUGAACCCUUGACCCGGCGAUGUCCGAAUGGGGAAACCCAGUGUGUUCCGACACACUAUCGUUAACUGAAUACAUAGGUUAACGAGGCGAACCGGGGGAACUGAAACAUCUAAGUACCCCGAGGAAAAGAAAUCAACCGAGAUUCCCCCAGUAGCGGCGAGCGAACGGGGAGCAGCCCGGAGUCUGAAUCAGCUUGUGUGUUAGUGGAACGGUCUGGAAAGUCCGACGGUACAGGGUGAUAGUCCCGUACACGAAAAUGCACAUGCUGUGAACUCGAAGAGUAGGGCGGGACACGUGGUAUCCUGUCUGAAUAUGGGGGGACCAUCCUCCAAGGCUAAAUACUCCUGACUGACCGAUAGUGAACCAGUACCGUGAGGGAAAGGCGAAAAGAACCCCGGCGAGGGGAGUGAAAAAGAACCUGAAACCGUGUACGUACAAGCAGUGGGAGCACCUUCGGGUGUGACUGCGUACCUUUUGUAUAAUGGGUCAGCGACUUAUAUUCUGUAGCAAGGUUAACCGUAUAGGGGAGCCGAAGGGAAACCGAGUCUUAACUGGGCGUUAAGUUGCAGGGUAUAGACCCGAAACCCGGUGAUCUAGCCAUGGGCAGGUUGAAGGUUGGGUAACACUAACUGGAGGACCGAACCGACUAAUGUUGAAAAAUUAGCGGAUGACCUGUGGCUGGGGGUGAAAGGCCAAUCAAACCGGGAGAUAGCUGGUUCUCCCCGAAAGCUAUUUAGGUAGCGCCUCGUGAACUCAUCUUCGGGGUAGAGCACUGUUUCGGCUAGGGGGCCAUCCCGGCUUACCAACCCGAUGCAAACUACGAAUACCGAAGAAUGUUAUCACGGGAGACACACGGCGGGUGCUAACGUCCGUCGUGAAGAGGGAAACAACCCAGACCGCCAGCUAAGGUCCCAAAGUCAUGGUUAAGUGGGAAACGAUGUGGGAAGGCACAGACAGCCAGGAUGUUGGCUUAGAAGCAGCCAUCAUUUAAAGAAAGCGUAAUAGCUCACUGGUCGAGUCGGCCUGCGCGGAAGAUGUAACGGGGCUAAACCAUGCACCGAAGCUGCGGCAGCGACACUAUGUGUUGUUGGGUAGGGGAGCGUUCUGUAAGCCGUUGAAGGUGUGCUGUGAGGCAUGCUGGAGGUAUCAGAAGUGCGAAUGCUGACAUAAGUAACGAUAAAGCGGGUGAAAAGCCCGCUCGCCGGAAGACCAAGGGUUCCUGUCCAACGUUAAUCGGGGCAGGGUGAGUCGACCCCUAAGGCGAGGCCGAAAGGCGUAGUCGAUGGGAAACAGGUUAAUAUUCCUGUACUUGGUGUUACUGCGAAGGGGGGACGGAGAAGGCUAUGUCAGCCGGGCGACGGUUGUCCCGGUUUAAGCAUGUAGGCGGAGGUUCCAGGUAAAUCCGGUACCUUGUUAACGCUGAGGUGUGAUGACGAGGCACUACGGUGCUGAAGUGAUAAAUGCCCUGCUUCCAGGAAAAGCCUCUAAGCAUCAGGUAACACGAAAUCGUACCCCAAACCGACACAGGUGGUCAGGUAGAGAAUACCAAGGCGCUUGAGAGAACUCGGGUGAAGGAACUAGGCAAAAUGGUGCCGUAACUUCGGGAGAAGGCACGCUGAUAUGUAGGUGAAGUCCCUGCGGACGGAGCUGAAAUCAGUCGAAGAUACCAGCUGGCUGCAACUGUUUAUUAAAAACACAGCACUGUGCAAACACGAAAGUGGACGUAUACGGUGUGACGCCUGCCCGGUGCCGGAAGGUUAAUUGAUGGGGUUAGCGGCAACGCGAAGCUCUUGAUCGAAGCCCCGGUAAACGGCGGCCGUAACUAUAACGGUCCUAAGGUAGCGAAAUUCCUUGUCGGGUAAGUUCCGACCUGCACGAAUGGCGUAAUGAUGGCCAGGCUGUCUCCACCCGAGACUCAGUGAAAUUGAACUCGCUGUGAAGAUGCAGUGUACCCGCGGCAAGACGGAAAGACCCCGUGAACCUUUACUAUAGCUUGACACUGAACACUGGUCCUUGAUGUGUAGGAUAGGUGGGAGGCUUUGAAGCGUGGACGCCAGUCUGCGUGGAGCCGCCCUUGAAAUACCACCCUUUAAUGGCUGGUGUUCUAACGUAGACCCGUGAUCCGGGUUGCGGACAGUGUCUGGUGGGUAGUUUGACUGGGGCGGUCUCCUCCCAAAGAGUAACGGAGGAGCACGAAGGUUGGCUAAUCCUGGUCGGACAUCAGGAGGUUAGUGCAAUGGCAUAAGCCAGCUUGACUGCGAGCGUGACGGCGCGAGCAGGUGCGAAAGCAGGUCAUAGUGAUCCGGUGGUUCUGAAUGGAAGGGCCAUCGCUCAACGGAUAAAAGGUACUCCGGGGAUAACAGGCUGAUACCGCCCAAGAGUUCAUAUCGACGGCGGUGUUUGGCACCUCGAUGUCGGCUCAUCACAUCCUGGGGCUGAAGUAGGUCCCAAGGGUAUGGCUGUUCGCCAUUUAAAGUGGUACGCGAGCUGGGUUUAGAACGUCGUGAGACAGUUCGGUCCCUAUCUGCCGUGGGCGCUGGAGAAUUGAGGGGGGCUGCUCCUAGUACGAGAGGACCGGAGUGGACGCAUCACUGGUGUUCGGGUUGUCAUGCCAAUGGCACUGCCCGGUAGCUAAAUGCGGAAGAGAUAAGUGCUGAAAGCAUCUAAGCACGAAACUUGCCCCGAGAUGAGUUCUCCCUGAGACCUUGAGUCUCCUGAAGGAACGUUGAAGACGACGACGUUGAUAGGUCGGGUGUGUAAGCGCAGCGAUGCGUUGAGCUAACCGAUACUAAUGAACCGUGAGGCUUAACCUU